UGGCGGACGGGUGAGGAACACGUGGGAACCUGCCCCGGAGUGGGGGACAACGGUCUGGAAACGGCCGCUAAUACCGCAUACGCCCUAUGGGGGAAAGAUUUAUCGCUCUGGGAGGGGCCCGCGUCCGAUUAGCUUGUUGGUGAGGUAACGGCUCACCAAGGCGUCGAUCGGUAGCUGGUCUGAGAGGAUGAUCAGCCACACUGGGACUGAGACACGGCCCAGACUCCUACGGGAGGCAGCGGUGGGGAAUAUUGGACAAUGGGGGCAACCCUGAUCCAGCAAUGCCGCGUGGGUGAAGAAGGCCCUAGGGUUGUAAAGCCCUUUCAGCGGGGAAGAUGAUGACGGUACCCGCAGAAGAAGCCCCGGCUAACUCCGUGCCAGCAGCCGCGGUAAUACGGAGGGGGCUAGCGUUGUUCGGAAUUACUGGGCGUAAAGGGCGCGUAGGCGGCCCACAUAGUCAGGCGUGAAAGCCCCGGGCUCAACCUGGGAACUGCGCUUGAUACUGGUGGGCUAGAGUCCGGGAGAGGAUGGUAGAAUUCCCAGUGUAGAGGUGAAAUUCGUAGAUAUUGGGAAGAACACCAGUGGCGAAGGCGGCCAUCUGGACCGGUACUGACGCUAAG
Molecule: ribosomal RNA, 620 nt
Filed under: uncultured bacterium
Lineage: Bacteria
Description: bacterial SSU rRNA
Rfam family: Bacterial small subunit ribosomal RNA
Source: RNAcentral